AUGGGAGGGUUUAAGGGGACGAGCGGCGAGGAAGAAGACAAGGGCAAAAAGAAAAAGAUCGAAUAAUGGAAAGGCUAAUUUUUUCUUUGAGGGAAUGGGAAAAGGCAAAGCGCUCUGUCCCCCACAGGCCCGCAGCGAAAGAUUCCGAGUUCUGGGCCAGUGGAACUGCAUCGGCAAGGGGGACCUCGAGCCCGACGGCGUCCACCGGAUUCUGGACUACGCCGCCGCCUGCUCCGUCGCCGACCUCCACGUGGACUUCGCCCACGGAGCCCUGGGCUUCAUUUUCAAGCUCCGCCUCCCGCGGGCGACCCGCACCUCACGCGCCUCACCGUCGGCAGCAUCCGCGUCGGCCUCUCCAAGCCCUUCUCCGCCCGCUGCCACACCUUCUCCGUCCUCGAGGUCAUCUACCUCGAGGGCGUCACGCUCUCCGACCACACCGUCGAGAACCUGGUCGCCGCGUGCCCCCUCCUCCGCGCCCUCGACCUGCGCUACUGCGAUGGCCUCGAUUUCGUCAACGUCGAGGCCGCCGGGCCGCACCUGAGGAGCCUCACCGUCGCGGAGUGCGGAGGGGUGAGAGACAUUUCUACCAUGGAGGCGCCCAGCCUUCGCUCCUUCCGCUACAGCGGCUCCUACAGCCGCGCCCUGACAAUCCCUGCCGCCUGCGCGCUCGCCGACCUUUACCUAUGCUUCGGCGGACCUGCCGGUCGCCUCCGGCCUCUCGGCACCCCACUCUGUUUCGAUUUUGCUUGGCCUGCAGGGGUGCCAAGAAAUUGGCUUCAGGCACCGUGCUUACCCUCUGCAGCAGUGCCCUGCGGAGAGUGUCUGCCAAGGCUCGUGAGAGAUCACUAACCAAAAGUGGUGCCGCGUCGUGCGAAUUGCGGAAUUUGAGAGAGCUGCAGCUGCUGAUGUUUGCAAUGUAUAACAGCAGCGUGGAUGACAUUUGUGUUUUCAUCGUGGCCUGCUGCCCCUCUCUAUUAGAGAGGAUGUUUGUGCAGCUUCCAACAAAUAGUCACUAUUAUAGAGCAGGCUCGGAACCAUCAGAAUCAGAGGAAGAGCUACUAGAGGAAAACAGGCCAGUGGAGGAUCUGCGGGGAGAAGCGCCACCUGAGGAAGAUGGGCCAGAGGGAGAGCUACCAGAAGAGGAAGAUGAGCUUCAGGAGGAGCUACCAGAGGGAGAGCUAUCAGAAGAGGAAGUUGAGCUUCAAGACGAGCUGCCAGAGGGAGAGCUAUCGGAAGAGGAAGAUGAGCUUCAAGACGAGCUGCCAGAGGGAGAGCUAUCAGAAGAGGAAGAUGAGCUUCAAGACGAGCUGCCAGAGGGAGAGGCGUCGGAGGAAAAUCAAUCAGAGGAAGACUGGUCAGAUGAAGAGCUAUCUGAUGGAGGGCAAUCAGAGGAAGACCCAGUAGAAGAUUGCCUUGAGAACCUUAAGUUGCUCAAGAUGACGAAUUUCAAGGGGGGUGACAAUGAGAUGAGGCUACUAAGGUUUGUGUUGAGGAACUCUACUAGUCUCAACCAAUUGCUGCUAUUUACAUCGAAGAGUGAUCGACCAGAGUGGCUCCAGAAGGAUCAUCUGGAUACGUCCGAUAUUCUCGAAACAAAAAUAUUGCCUCUCCAAAAAGCCCUACCAAAUUGCCAGAUAAUUCUCAGUGAGUCUGAUGGUGAUGCAAUUCAGGCAUUUCAUCGGGAGGCCUUUGUCAACUUUCCGGAGCCCACCCCCCUCAUCGAUCUUAGCCGGCUCACGGACGCCGACGAGGCCGAGAGGCUCCGGGCGGCUCUGCAGACCUGGGGCUUCUUCCUGGCCACCAACCAUGGGAUCGAGGACUCUCUCAUGGACGCCAUGAUGAGCGUGUCGAGGGAGUUCUUCCGGCAGCCGGCAGAGGAGAAGCAGAAAUGCAGCAACCUGGUGGACGGCAACGGCAAGGACUACCAGGUGGAAGGGUAUGGCAGUGACAAGGUGGUGUCCGAGGAUCAGGUCCUCAACUGGAGCGACCGGUUGCAUCUGAGAGUGGAGCCGGAAGAUGAGAGGAAUUUCGCCAAGUGGCCCAGUCACCCGGAAUCUUUCAGGGACGUGCUACAAGAGUACGCAUCAAGAACCAAGAAAAUAAGAGACCUCGUCUUGCGAUCGAUAGCCGAGCUCCUGGAGAUUGACGAGGACUACUUCGUCAACCAGAUAUCAAACAAGGCUUCCGGGUUUGCUAGAUUCAACUACUACCCUCCAUGCCCAAGGCCUGACCUAGUUUUGGGCCUCAGGCCUCACUCCGACGGUGGUCUCCUUACCAUCCUUUUCAACGAUGACAACGUCGGUGGCUUGCAAAUUCAAAGAGAUGGGAGAUGGUACAAUGUUCCGACCAAGCCUCACACAUUGUUGAUUAACCUAGCAGACUGCCUAGAAAUAAUGAACAAUGGAAUCUUUAGGAGCCCAUUUCAUAGAGUGGUGACGAACGUCGAGAAGGAUAGGCUUUCCCUGGCUGUGUUUUACGCCGUGGAUGCGGAAACGAUGUUGGAGCCAGCGCCCGGUUUGCUGGAUGACAAGCGACCAUCAAGGUAUAGGAAAAUGUUGGCCAAGGAUUUCGUGGCUGGGCUCUUUGAACAUUUCCGUCAAGGGAAGAGAUUCAUCGACACCCUGAAAAUAUAGGUUCAUCGUUUAUUAUGGAGUCGUAGCAGUGAUUGCCUAUGAAGAAUAAAGAGAUGGUUUUAUCUGUUGUGUGAGUGGGGGUUUUGUCUACCUUCGCCUUUCUUAUAAGCGACUCAGUUCAGUUAACCCAUGUAAUGCACUCCGUAAUGUCAAAUAAAAAUGGUGCACUCGCAUAUUCGGGAAA
Triticum aestivum (bread wheat) is the source of this 2817-nucleotide RNA transcript. RefSeq lists it as uncharacterized. NCBI's taxonomy places the organism in Eukaryota, Viridiplantae, Streptophyta, Magnoliopsida, Poales, Poaceae. The record is from RefSeq and is a predicted model, not a curated record. The transcript has 8 exons.